ACCCCCCACCCACGUCGGUGGCCACCAGCCGCGUCUCAGGCUGGGAGGCGCCGUGCAGCAUGGGUGGGCCAGUGCUGAUGCAUAAACAGCUGAGUCUCCAGUUUCCUGCUGUUUUCUGGCUAAUGAUCCUCUGUGACCAGAGCACUGUCCAGUUAGCAAAGUGACAGGAAACUGAGACCCAGAGAGGUGGAGCAAAAAUGCCCGAAAUUACGUAGUUGGUUAAGAGCAGAAUGGGGACUCGCACGUGCUUUCUGCUCUACGGUGCCACCUUCUCAAAGGAGGAAAUUUACCUGCCAGCCUUGCCCACAGGCCCAGACGGAGGAGUUCAACUUCUUCCCAGAGCUGGGGAGGGUCAUUGUCAGGAUGGAAAGAGAGAAUACCUGAGAAGCUGGUCUGGAAGAUAACCAGCAUCUGCAGGAUGCCAACACCUGCCAGCACUUCCCAUCCCUCCUGCCUUGUGAAAGAUGGAGAGGGCCAGUGGCCACGUGGCUGCAGGCGGCCUCGCUGGGUACCAGGCCCCAGAACAUCUCCAGGGAGACCUAUAGAAAGGUUCUCCGCAUGGGGAGCACUUCCCUCAUUGUCCCACAAUAGUUUUGUUUCUAGAGGAAGCCUAUGCAAGGAAGUUGGUGUUCUCUUUGAGCCUUGUUCUCUUUGAGUGGAGCCUGCAUGAUGGUUUCCUCCUGCUUUGUGGCUCUUCAUUGUCCUAAUUCCUUCAAUCCUGGAGUCCAGGAAAGACGUUCAGCGAACAGGCAGCUAACUGAUGUGGAAUUCGUCCGUUCAACACGUAUGUGCGUGUCCUGUUCACAAGAUGGGGUCUAAUGAGGCCUGUUUGUGGGGGUGGAACUCGGGGUCUCGCGUGGAGGAG
RNAcentral lists this long non-coding RNA (865 nucleotides) under Equus caballus (horse). RNAcentral describes it as "lncRNA (ENSECAG00000055512.1)". The record is from RNAcentral. Lineage: Eukaryota; Metazoa; Chordata; Mammalia; Perissodactyla; Equidae.